AGGGUUUGAUCCUGGCUCAGGAUGAACGCUAGCGGCAGGCUUAACACAUGCAAGUCGAGGGGUAUAGUUCUUCGGAGCUAGAGACCGGCGCACGGGUGCGUAACGCGUAUGCAAUCUACCUUUUACAGAGGGAUAGCCCAGAGAAAUUUGGAUUAAUACCUCAUAGUAUGUGAGAAUCGCAUGGUUUUCACAUUAAAGUUCCAACGGUAAAAGAUGAGCAUGCGUCCCAUUAGCUAGAUGGUAAGGUAACGGCUUACCAUGGCGACGAUGGGUAGGGGUCCUGAGAGGGAGAUCCCCCACACUGGUACUGAGACACGGACCAGACUCCUACGGGAGGCAGCAGUGAGGAAUAUUGGACAAUGGGCGCAAGCCUGAUCCAGCCAUGCCGCGUGCAGGAUGACGGUCCUAUGGAUUGUAAACUGCUUUUGUACAGGAAGAAACACUCCCUCGUGAGGGAGCUUGACGGUACUGUAAGAAUAAGGAUCGGCUAACUCCGUGCCAGCAGCCGCGGUAAUACGGAGGAUCCAAGCGUUAUCCGGAAUCAUUGGGUUUAAAGGGUCCGUAGGCGGUUUAAUAAGUCAGUGGUGAAAGCCCAUCGCUCAACGGUGGAACGGCCAUUGAUACUGUUAAACUUGAAUUAUUAGGAAGUAACUAGAAUAUGUAGUGUAGCGGUGAAAUGCUUAGAGAUUACAUGGAAUACCAAUUGCGAAGGCAGGUUACUACUAAUGGAUUGACGCUGAUGGACGAAAGCGUGGGUAGCGAACAGGAUUAGAUACCCUGGUAGUCCACGCCGUAAACGAUGGAUACUAGCUGUUGGGAGCAAUCUCAGUGGCUAAGCGAAAGUGAUAAGUAUCCCACCUGGGGAGUACGUUCGCAAGAAUGAAACUCAAAGGAAUUGACGGGGGCCCGCACAAGCGGUGGAGCAUGUGGUUUAAUUCGAUGA
RNAcentral lists this ribosomal RNA (943 nucleotides) under uncultured bacterium. RNAcentral's name for it is "bacterial SSU rRNA". It matches the Rfam family "Bacterial small subunit ribosomal RNA", at positions 8 to 957 of the family's 1533-position model. The record is from RNAcentral.